Molecule: ribosomal RNA, 433 nt
Filed under: uncultured bacterium
Lineage: Bacteria
Description: partial 16S ribosomal RNA
Rfam family: Bacterial small subunit ribosomal RNA
Source: RNAcentral
AACGAACGCUGGCGGCAUGCCUAACACAUGCAAGUCGAACGAGACCUUCGGGUCUAGUGGCGCACGGGUGCGUAACGCGUGGGAACCUGCCCUUAGGUUCGGAAUAACUCCUCGAAAGGGGUGCUAAUACCGGAUAAUGUCUUCGGACCAAAGAUUUAUCGCCUUUGGAUGGGCCCGCGUUGGAUUAGCUAGUUGGUAGGGUAAAAGCCUACCAAGGCGACGAUCCAUAGCUGGUCUGAGAGGAUGAUCAGCCACACUGGGACUGAGACACGGCCCAGACUCCUACGGGAGGCAGCAGUGGGGAAUAUUGGACAAUGGGCGAAAGCCUGAUCCAGCAGUGCCGCGUGAGUGAUGAAGGCCUUAGGGUUGUAAAGCUCUUUUACCCGGGAUGAUAAUGACAGUACCGGGAGAAUAAGCUCCGGCUAACUCCGUG